ACACAGACUGUCCAGAUAAUGAUCGGUCUGAUGACUCUCCUGCUUGGCAUUGUGUCUACAGUUUAUGCAGAAUCCAUCUUAGUCUAUACUGGUAUUCCUUACUGGGGAUCUCUUAUCUACAUUAUCGCAGGCUCACUCUGCAUUUCUGCAGAAAGCAAACCUAAUUCAUCCUCCAGCUUGUGUUUGGUGAACGGUUCACUUGUAAUGAACAUUUUCAGUGCUUUAACUGCAGGCAUUGCCCUUUUUUAUUACUUCACUGGAUUUGGCUGUAGGACCGCUGUACACUUACAGUUACUGCAACAAUUAU
Molecule: long non-coding RNA, 307 nt
Organism: Labeo rohita (rohu)
Lineage: Eukaryota; Metazoa; Chordata; Actinopteri; Cypriniformes; Cyprinidae
Exons: 3
Source: RefSeq, a predicted model, not a curated record